This 1007-nucleotide ribosomal RNA is filed under the name Paraburkholderia ginsengiterrae. RNAcentral describes it as "bacterial SSU rRNA". It matches the Rfam family "Bacterial small subunit ribosomal RNA", at positions 60 to 1061 of the family's 1533-position model. The record is from RNAcentral. Lineage: Bacteria; Pseudomonadati; Pseudomonadota; Betaproteobacteria; Burkholderiales; Burkholderiaceae.
AGUCGAACGGCAGCACGGGAGCAAUCCUGGUGGCGAGUGGCGAACGGGUGAGUAAUACAUCGGAACGUGUCCUGGAGUGGGGGAUAGCCCGGCGAAAGCCGGAUUAAUACCGCAUACGCUCUGAGGAGGAAAGGGGGGGAUCUUAGGACCUCUCGCUCAAGGGGCGGCCGAUGGCAGAUUAGCUAGUUGGUGGGGUAAAGGCCUACCAAGGCGACGAUCUGUAGCUGGUCUGAGAGGACGACCAGCCACACUGGGACUGAGACACGGCCCAGACUCCUACGGGAGGCAGCAGUGGGGAAUUUUGGACAAUGGGGGCAACCCUGAUCCAGCAAUGCCGCGUGUGUGAAGAAGGCCUUCGGGUUGUAAAGCACUUUUGUCCGGAAAGAAAACUUCGGGGUUAAUACCCCUGGAGGAUGACGGUACCGGAAGAAUAAGCACCGGCUAACUACGUGCCAGCAGCCGCGGUAAUACGUAGGGUGCGAGCGUUAAUCGGAAUUACUGGGCGUAAAGCGUGCGCAGGCGGUCCGCUAAGACCGAUGUGAAAUCCCCGGGCUUAACCUGGGAACUGCAUUGGUGACUGGCGGGCUAGAGUAUGGCAGAGGGGGGUAGAAUUCCACGUGUAGCAGUGAAAUGCGUAGAGAUGUGGAGGAAUACCGAUGGCGAAGGCAGCCCCCUGGGCCAAUACUGACGCUCAUGCACGAAAGCGUGGGGAGCAAACAGGAUUAGAUACCCUGGUAGUCCACGCCCUAAACGAUGUCAACUAGUUGUCGGGUCUUCAUUGACUUGGUAACGUAGCUAACGCGUGAAGUUGACCGCCUGGGGAGUACGGUCGCAAGAUUAAAACUCAAAGGAAUUGACGGGGACCCGCACAAGCGGUGGAUGAUGUGGAUUAAUUCGAUGCAACGCGAAAAACCUUACCUACCCUUGACAUGUAUGGAAUCCUGCUGAGAGGUGGGAGUGCCCGAAAGGGAGCCAUAACACAGGUGCUGCAUGGCUGUCGUCAGCUC